AGAGAGAGACAUGCGCGCAUAUCAAUAAGCGGAGGAAAAGAAACUAACAAGGAUUACCCCUAGUAACGGCGAGUGAAGCGGGAAGAGCUCAAAUUUGAAAUCUUAAAGGGUUUCCCUUUACGAAUUGUAGUUUAAAGAAGUGUUUUCUGUUGAGGUUUUGGUAAAAGUUCUUUGGAAUAGGACAUCAUAGAGGGUGAGAAUCCCGUAUUUGACCUUUACUUUCAACUUUGUGAUACACUUUCAAAGAGUCGGAUUGUUUGGGAAUGCAGUCCAAAAUGGGUGGUAAAUUUCAUCUAAAGCUAAAUACUGGCGAGAGACCGAUAGCGAACAAGUACCGUGAGGGAAAGAUGAAAAGAACUUUGAAAAGAGAGUUAAACAGUACGUGAAAUUGUCAAAAGGGAAGCGUUUGACACCAGUGUUGUUUUUCUGAAAAUCAAUUAAAGAACUGUUUAUGCUAAGCUGUUUAGACUUUAUCAGCUAUCUGUUUAGUUUUGAGCUUUUCUUUAAUGCACUUUUCAGUUAACAAGUCAACAUCAAUUUCUUUUGCUGUAAAAAAGCUUGAGGAAGGUGGCUUGAGAUUCGUCUUAAGUGUUUAUAGCCUCUUGCCUAUGCAGUCGGAGAGAUUGAGGUCUGCAGCGUAGAUCCUUCGGGGCUAAAUGCAUUUGUGCUAAGUUAUAGCAUUUUAUAGACAACUUGUUGACUAUGAUUUGUCUUGUAGCUUACUCGCUUAUGUUAUUUUACCUACGCUUAGGAUGUUGACGCAUGAGAUAUACGC
RNAcentral lists this ribosomal RNA (775 nucleotides) under uncultured Neocallimastigales. RNAcentral describes it as "partial large subunit ribosomal RNA". It matches the Rfam family "Eukaryotic large subunit ribosomal RNA", at positions 23 to 647 of the family's 3401-position model. Lineage: Eukaryota; Fungi; Neocallimastigomycota; Neocallimastigomycetes; Neocallimastigales. The record is from RNAcentral.